RNAcentral lists this long non-coding RNA (3257 nucleotides) under Lynx pardinus (Iberian lynx). The record is from RNAcentral. Lineage: Eukaryota; Metazoa; Chordata; Mammalia; Carnivora; Felidae.
CAGCGGGCCUCCCAGGUAGUCAAGCCAGCCCCACCAUUGAUCAGGACUCUUUCAAUUGUGAGAAACCCACGUUGAAUCUCUUUAAGUGCAAAAGGUCACUGCUCAGCAGUAAACGCACACAGAACAGGGGAACCAGCAGGCUGGGUUCAAGGUACUUUUCUUUCUCUCUUUCUCUCUCUCUCCACUCCUCCCUUUCUUUUCUUAUUUCUACUUUUCUCGACGUGAUGGUCUCAUUUCCUACUGUAGCUAGAGAAGGGGGCUUCUGGUGAUUCUAGCUUACAUCAGCUUAGAACUUGGGAUCUCAGAGAAUGGAAGACCACCUUCCCUGACAGUUCUGGCGGCAAAAUUCUGGGUACGACACUGGCCUGGCUUAGGUCAUAUGACCUUCCCAGAGCCAAUCAGUCCAUGGCCUGAGGAAUAGGGUUCUCUGAUUGGCCAGGCCUGUGUCACGUGACCUUGGCAGGCUUUGCCCCACCUUUAGAGGUUCUACUCGGAAUACGCCCCCCAGGAAAGAACGUUGGUUGCCAGAAGACAAGGCGGAAGAGAGACAGAGAGAGAGAGAGAGAGAGAGUCGCUAACCUCAGAACCCCCGCAACACCCGAGAGAGAGAGAGAGAGAGAGAGAGAGAGAGUCGCUAACCUCAGAACCCCCGCAACACCCAAGCGUGAAGACUGGUUCACAUCGUGGAUUCUCCACCUAGCUGUUACCCACAACGAGUGAUGGCCGAAGAGCCGUGGAUGGGGAGAACACCAGCUCACGUUUGGCCAGUACCAGUGUGCCGGGCACUAUUCUAAGCACUUCCACGUGUUAACUCACUCAUUUCUCAUGACAACCCUAAGAGCUGAGGACAAUUAUUAGGUGAGAAAAGUGAGGCCCCAAAAGGUAAGCCACUUGCCUAAGGCCCUCCAGCUAAGAAGUGGGGGCCCAGGGGUGUGGUCCCAGAACCUAUGCCCUCCCCACUGAAGGAUACUUUGGACAAGGGGACCUUGGUGGUGGCCAGUGCGCCCACACACAGGAGAGCUAGAGAGUACACACGUGUACAGGAGUACAUUCCGGAGAGCCAGAGAAACCUGCCCCCACACGGUCAUAACCUCCAACCUGCCCAGAUUUUUCUUCAUCAGAAUAGCCCAGGAGCCUGGCUGGCGGUAUCUGUCUGGCUCUGCCCCAAGAGAGGAGGCGUGAUACGACACCCCAGCCCUCACCAGCUUGCCAGCCCCUCCCGCUCCAGCUAGUCUGGACUCCUCAGUCAGCUGGGGUUCUCCACCCUGGACGCCCUGAGCUCCUCCCUCAGCGACAGGUGCGGCAGGGGGCAGGAGACAGGAGGCCGUGGAGGCCCCAGUGACAAGAACAGAAACCAGAGCCCCAGGCCAGGACAGCACUGGACAGGAAUGGGGAGGAGACAGACAGAAGGAGACAGACAGAGGAGAAGACACACAGGAAGAGAGCAAAGGCAGAAUGUAGGAGACAGAGAUGGGGCUGCGUCCUCCCUCGCCCUUCCCACAGGCAACACAUCUCUCUCUUGUCUCGGGGCUGAAAGCAAGAAGGGGAGAGGGAAGACCUUGUAAAUGAAGCAGGUGAGAGUUCUGCAGCUACACGUCUCAGUUUCAAUUCUCCUCGAGUCCCUGAUGCAGACGAGCACCUCCGGAGGGGAAGUGAGUGAAGACAGGUGCCCAUGGGAGAUACCCCUCACCCAACCGCACUUUGGGCAACAGGCCCGAUGCUUAGAGGGCCCCAGAAACACCUUCCUGACAGGGCUCCAGAGACCAAAGCCCAUGGCCACUGAGCCCUGCAAAGUGGCAAAAGGAGAAGGCAGAGGGACACAUGCCAGACCCUGCCCAUGUCUCCCCAGGGAUCUGAAUUCUCUUCCCACCCCACAUCACACAAAACCCCCAUUCUCUCAGAAUAUCUGAUACCUCCCGUGGAACAGGAACUUGAGGUCUGGCUUUGUCCCCAACCAGCUGUGUGACCUUGGAUAACCUCUUCCCUUCCGAAGACCUCAGUCUGCCAUCUCCAUAGUGAGCGGCCCUUUGGGUGCUGGUGCUCUGCGGUCCUGGGACUCUGUUGGCCCUCACCAGCCUUCAAAGCCACUGCUGUUCUCAGAAGGAUGCUGGUCAGCCUCCCCCAGCUGUCCACCCUACCCGUCUCCCAGAAAGCCCCCCUAUCCUGUCCAAAGUCCCACCUCCUUCUAGCAAACCGUAGCUGGCCCAUGCCCUCCGGGCCUUGCAAGGAGCUGACCACCAUCCACAGAAAUAAGAGGACCCGACGUGAGACGGAAAGUGAGAGCGGCUGAUUCCCCCCUACUGGAGAACACAGCGGCACCAGGCCGGCCUGGCCUUUCGCCUGACGGCCCGCGUUUAAGACAGUGCGUAAUGCGGCCACAGCAUAGGCUUCCGCACCCCGACCCCCUAGAAUAGGGCUGAUUUGCAAAAGAGAGUAAGUGGAGGCCUAGAAUGGCAGGUCAGAAACCCCUGCCCAGAUGCCAAGAGACAGCCAUGAAGGCAGGGGGCCGGGUGGGGAGGGAGGAUGACCCGUGGGCACACUGGCCUCCUUCUCACGGAUGCCCCGAGGAGGGCGCUGGGAGCAAGGCGCGUCCCGUAACCGCAGCCUGCGCCUGGUGUCAGCCGCGUGGCGCUGCGCAACCCCCCCCCCCCCCCACCCGCCCGUCCCCGAAAACCAAAGGCGCCCCUUCCAGAGAAGAAAAAGGAGGGAGCCUCAUCAUUAAUAGCGCUGGCGGCAAGGUAAAGCCACCCGCCCGCUCCGGCGCACCCUCGCCCAUAAUUAUGCCAGCGAGGCUUUCAUCCCCACGCGCGCACGCCGAAAGUUUAUUGUUGUAUUUCGGCCUUUUGUUCAGUCUCCUGUGCCUUUUAUGCAAGGGGAAGGGUGCUGAGGGGUCAAAGCAUCCUCCCCCGGCUCCUCUCUCUGUCAGUCCUUUUAGAAAAACACCCAAAGCCAUAAUUUGUCUUAGAAUUUCUUUUGAAACAGCUACAAGAAAGACUCGCGACUGCUCUUUUCCCUCUGUUUCUGAUUCCAGCCAUCCCUUUAUCUGGCUUUCAUUAGAGCCUCGGCCGCGCCUCUUUUGUGGGAGAGACUUAUGGGAACCCAGGCAGUUUCCCAGCCGCUGUGAUGUUGCUAAAGAUUAAAAAGGAGCUUUGAAGCUGUACCAGUUCUCUCUGCGCCCCCUCGGUACAGGGCCUCAGAAAGACCCAAGCCAUCUGGCAAACCUGACAUAAAGACAAAAUAAAGUGAUUGAGACUGGC